CUCAUAAAAGCUUUAAAUUGCAGUACUCUUUCUCUUCAUAAUCUUUUCCAGCGUCAUGAGAGGCUGAGGUCUACCCCAGCAUACUGCAGAAGACUCCCUAAGGUUACCAGUCUGUCACAGGGUCAAUGACAAGUCUAUUAAUUUCAGUGAUCUAUUUAAAAUUACUCCAAAGAUGUUGAAAUGCACCUCACCAGCCCUGCUACUAUUUAGAAGUUUGUAUGUGAUGUUACCAUGAACUCGGUGUGUGUGUAAUGUUUACACGAGGGAACUCAGAACUCUGCAUAACCUCUUCUGAUAUAAGAUAUUGUCAGUCAGUGAUGUGCAUUUCAGAAAUUAGUCAUUAAUUUAUGUAUUGCUUUUUAGAAAGCCACUCUUCUUUCAUUUGGCUGUCUACUUGAACUGUGACUUUUAGCCUGAUUUCCUACAUUUCCCAGAAUGCUUUUCUAAAAACCUAUUGAACACAUCUGACUGAAAAUUAAAAAACUAUUAUAGUAAAGUAUUAUAAUUUUUGUCAACUAAUAAAAAUAGUAUAAUAGUAAUAGAAUAAUAAAAGAGUAUAUGCCACUUUAAAAAGAAGUUGAUUAAGCUUCUUGACCUGUUGCACUAGUUAGCAGCAUCUCGCAUUUCAGUAAGGUCUCGGCCAGUAACGUUAGCUUAUGUUACUGGUUCCGGGAAAGGAAGAAUUUAAGAAAUUUACGGUCUAAAUUAAUUCACUAUCCCACAGAAAAUUAGACAAGAAGCAGCCACACACAUACAGCUGGAACAAAGAGUCCAUGCAGGUUAGCAUGCCAAAAUUUAUGAAAAAGUGUGUCUUCACUGCUCUGACUGUUGGAGGUUCUCCAGCACUCUCCAAACAGGUCUGAUCCUUAACAAAGGUGAGGGGCUGCAGCUCAUUGUGUUCCAGCACAGCAGAGGUGAACGGAGAGAGGUCUGUGUUCCUGGCACACGAUUCCUUCAGCACGCUGUCACGUCUCUUCAACUCUUCCCUUCUCUGAUGUUACCUGACAGGGAGGGUGUGUGAUGGCAGUGCCUUCAGGCUCCUCCAGGCGUAAGAAUCAGUGAGCAGGUGGAGCACACCGGCAGCGCUGUCUUCUGACGAGUCCCCGCCGUCUCCUGUUUUGUCAGGACCCCUGGAGCGAAGACCAGGGAGUGUGUGUGUUUAUGUGUGUGUGUGUGUGUGUGUGUUUGUUGAGCGGUUGGGAUGCACUGUGAUCAUUAGGAUUCACAAUGGCUUUGACAGCGGGGCUCUGGAGCAGUGGACACAGCAUAUGCCUAGGGAGAUAACUGGUUGGCUGACUGGUUAUCAUACUGGCUGGCCAGUACGCUAACUGUGUCCGCUCCACUAAUAAAUCCAGAUCCUUUAAUUCAAACAGACGUCGCUCUGGAUGUAAGGCCCACUCUGUGUAGCUGACUUGUCUGUAUUGCAUCAAGCAGGACCACAAGCCUGAAUUAUUUGUUUACUCUGAAGUUGUGAUUAAUUUUGCAGCAGUCUUGCCUCCACUCAAGUGAACUCUAAGUUGCAGAGAGGGAACAUAUUGUUGAUUUUGGAUAUUUGGGACUGCUGCUACAGGAUGAGGCUUGUCUGUGGUAAUAAUUCUGGAGGAUAAAUAACACGUCUGUUUCCCCACAAGCACCAUUUGCUCUUACAUGUAAGCUCUUUUGACCGCUGUGUAGUUGAGGAAGAGUUGAAUGUAAAAGUGUGUGUGUGUGUGUGACUAUCCUAAGUGUGUAAGUGGCUCAGGUGGUAAAGAAAGGACGUCCUAAUAAUAGCCCCCUGUCUCCACACUGGUCCACAGGCUGUAGCCGUAUCGAUUCUGCCUCUCCAUCUUCGGCGUUGCCCGGCAUAGACCAGAUACCGAGGGUUUAGUUUGGAAUCUUGUGCAGCGCAGAGCAGCGAUUUCUCCGACCUGAGCUGGAUAAAGCCGAACGCCCUGGGGGGAGGCAGCAGUGGUUUUUAAUUGUUUGUAGUGUUAGUUGGCCACGCUGGAGGCGAGCUCUCCAGGGACAGGCCUCCAGCCAGGGUCUUGACCCUGCAACUUACACACUUCCCUGCCCUCGCACAAACACCAAUGACAAAAUGAACGGACUAAUGCACACAUCUCUGCACAGGUACACUGAAGCAACAGUGACUGAGUACACACAAACACAACUACAUACACAUACUGUACAUGGAUCCUGUUUAUAAUGAGAAACCCAAUUAACAUUUGUACGAAGAAUUCAAAUAGUAUAAAGAUAGAGUGAAAACAUUCAUAUUUUCUAUAACUUUCUGUUUGCUACUUUUGCACCCAUUACACUAAAUAUAUUAAGGGUUAAUACUGCACAAGUCUUUAUAAUAUAGUGCUUUAUUCUAUGCCUCAAAACUCUAUUUACAUGCAACAAAAAUCCUAUAUCCCAUAAAUUCCCCAGAAGUGUGAAAAUAGUUUUUAAUAACGCUACAGUAACUGUGUGUGUGUGUGUGUGUGCAAAAUACACAGUAUUUUUUUUUUGUUUGGGAACUGUAUGAGGUAAGAUAGAAAAUAAAUGAGCUUUGAUUUUUGCUUAAGUGCCUUUUAAUCAUUCGUGAGACUAUAAUCAUUCGUAACAGUGAGAACCCAAAUGGACUUCUCAUAAAGAAAAUCUAAAAUCUUCCCUGCACUUCAGUUUUUUUCCCCCCUCUAUCUGCAGAAGUGGUUGUUUUAUCCUUUGAUCUGCAGUACAUUAAAGUAAUACUGUGGGUUUGAAAAACCAUUAGGUGGCCUUUUGCAGGGCAGCAGGUCUCUUUUAAAAGCACAAUGAACCUCUGUACAGAUCAGGUUAGAAACUUAGUUAAAGGCACAAUAACACAUAGUCUCAAAUUAGUCUUAAAUGGUGUUAGCCCUCAAAUAAGACCAUUGACUCCUGACCUGUGCUGCUGCAGUCCAAUUACACCUACGGCUUAUUCCUGUUUUCACAUGUUUUGAGCGAGGCGGUUUGUUCUCGGAUUUUGUCGAGAGCUUAAAUAUUCACAUGCUGUGUGUGUCUUUUGUCGUUCUUGCCCGCUCGUCUUUCUGUCCGUCAUGCUCUCUGUCCGUCUGUCUGUCAGGGUGGCAGGUCUUGUUGAAUAGAGAGUGGGUCAUCUCCCUGACAGAGCUCAACUGGUAGUUAUGGCAGCCUCGCCACGGCUGGCUGGCUCCACACAGUCACCAGGAGACAGGGGAUCAUCAAGUCUGUCCUCCUGCUCCAACACACACACACAUACACAUCUGUGUCACACACGAUCACGCCCUCGCUCUCAUCGUCACAAAACAUGCACCUAUAAUAAUAAUAGCUGGAUAAAGUUGUAAGAUCAUUAGGACAGAUUACUUUUUUUUUUUUUUUUUUUUUUACAUUUUCUAACGUUAUUUGCAGCUUAUUUCUAUACUGUGGAACUGAAAUUAAAGUUCAUUUUUGCUAAGAAAUCAGUAUAUAUAUUCUUGAUGUUUGUUUUGACUUGUACACUUAAGUACACAAAUUGUAAAGUAAAUAGUAAAAGUACAAUAUGUGAAAUUGUAAUUAAAAAGAAGACAUGUUUUAUGUAUUUUUCUGCAUUGACAACCCCCCCUACGUCAGUGUUCUCUAUGUGGGUGGGAAUUUUUGUUAUUGGUGCUGUAAUUUAAUUGGUGCAAUAAAAUAGUUUGUGCUUCAAUUCUAACGGACACACAUGCAAUUAAAGUUAGCCGCCACCUAGUCGCAUCUGUGAUUUUAGCACUCCUAUGUUACUCCAUGGCUGUGGCAUGUACAUUACUCUGUGUUGUUGUGACUGAAAUCACAGGGCGACGUACGGAGUGCUGAGGUUACAGAACUACCCUUUGCUGUGAGUUCUGACAGUCUGGUCAUUUGCCAUCACCAGAAAUGGACCCAUUACAGAGAGGCAGGCAGCUAAUGCUAGCAAGCUAAGGCUAGCCUUCUAGCUUCAACUUCCUGAGUGGAAUUGAAACUUCACAGAUGGACGUUUGAUAGCUAAAACUGUGGACUUGUUGAAAAGUAAGAAAAAACAGUCUCACUGUUUGUAGGA
RNA transcript from Thunnus maccoyii (southern bluefin tuna), 4012 nucleotides. It is a transcript of the gene named fidgetin-like, with no coding region annotated. The record is from RefSeq and is a predicted model, not a curated record. NCBI's taxonomy places the organism in Eukaryota, Metazoa, Chordata, Actinopteri, Scombriformes, Scombridae. The transcript is spliced from 3 exons.